CAAGAAAACAAAAACACCUGCAGAAGAACAACCCAAGGGAAAAACAAAGUCACCAAAGAAGGAACAUUCAGAAACUGAUAGAGCCAAAGGUGAGGUUGGUGCUGCCUCCACUAAAAAAGCUGUACCUGGAAAGAAGGAAGAGAAAAC
Molecule: long non-coding RNA, 147 nt
Organism: Molossus molossus (Pallas's mastiff bat)
Lineage: Eukaryota; Metazoa; Chordata; Mammalia; Chiroptera; Molossidae
Exons: 5
Source: RefSeq, a predicted model, not a curated record